ACAGCGGCGGACGGGUGAGUAACGCGUAGGAAUCUACCCGGUAGUGGGGGACAACAUGGUGAAAACCAUGCUAAUACCGCAUACGCCCUAUGGGGGAAAGCGGGGGACCUUCGGGCCUCGCGCUAUCGGAUGAGCCUGCGUAAGAUUAGCUAGUUGGUGGGGUAAAGGCCCACCAAGGCGACGAUCUUUAGCUGGUCUGAGAGGAUGAUCAGCCACACUGGGACUGAGACACGGCCCAG
This 239-nucleotide ribosomal RNA is filed under the name uncultured bacterium. RNAcentral describes it as "partial 16S ribosomal RNA". It matches the Rfam family "Bacterial small subunit ribosomal RNA", at positions 92 to 334 of the family's 1533-position model. The record is from RNAcentral.